GAUGAACGCUGGCGGCGUGCCUAAUACAUGCAAGUCGAGCGAACGGACGAGAAGCUUGCUUUUCUGAUGUUAGCGGCGGACGGGUGAGUAACACGUGGAUAACCUACCUAUAAGACUGGGAUAACUUCGGGAAACCGGAGCUAAUACCGGAUAAUAUUUUGAACCGCAUGGUUCAAAAGUGAAAGACGGUCUUGCUGUCACUUAUAGAUGGAUCCGCGCUGCAUUAGCUAGUUGGUAAGGUAACGGCUUACCAAGGCAACGAUGCAUAGCCGACCUGAGAGGGUGAUCGGCCAAACUGGAACUGAGACACGGUCCAGACUCCUACGGGAGGCAGCAGUAGGGAAUCUUCCGCAAUGGGCUAAAGCCUGACGGAGCAACGCCGCGUGAGUGAUGAAGGUCUUCGGAUCGUAAAACUCUGUUAUUAGGGAAGAACAUAUGUGUAAGUAACUGUGCACAUCUUGACGGUACCUAAUCAGAAAGCCACGGCUAACUACGUG
Molecule: ribosomal RNA, 497 nt
Filed under: uncultured bacterium
Lineage: Bacteria
Description: partial 16S ribosomal RNA
Rfam family: Bacterial small subunit ribosomal RNA
Source: RNAcentral